UCCCGUGUGGCUCAGUUGGUAGAGCAUGGUGUUUGCAACACCAGGGUUGUGGGUUCGAUUCCCACGGGAA
RNAcentral lists this transfer RNA (70 nucleotides) under Salmo salar (Atlantic salmon). It matches the Rfam family "tRNA". Rfam says of the family: Transfer RNA (tRNA) molecules are approximately 80 nucleotides in length. Their secondary structure includes four short double-helical elements and three loops (D, anti-codon, and T loops). Further hydrogen bonds mediate the characteristic L-shaped molecular structure. tRNAs have two regions of fundamental functional importance: the anti-codon, which is responsible for specific mRNA codon recognition, and the 3' end, to which the tRNAs corresponding amino acid is attached (by aminoacyl-tRNA synthetases). tRNAs cope with the degeneracy of the genetic code in two manners: having more than one tRNA (with a specific anti-codon) for a particular amino acid; and 'wobble' base-pairing, i.e. permitting non-standard base-pairing at the 3rd anti-codon position. The record is from Rfam by way of RNAcentral. Lineage: Eukaryota; Metazoa; Chordata; Actinopteri; Salmoniformes; Salmonidae.